RNAcentral lists this long non-coding RNA (445 nucleotides) under Elaeis guineensis (African oil palm). RNAcentral's name for it is "long non-coding RNA (EGUI_LNC018142)". The record is from RNAcentral. Lineage: Eukaryota; Viridiplantae; Streptophyta; Magnoliopsida; Arecales; Arecaceae.
UUGGUUAUUGCAUGAAGUUGACUGCUGUGGUCAAUGUUUGUACCUGGAUGACUGGCAUGUUGAAUUGGUCCUAAUUUAACCCCUCAGUCAGUUGGAUGGGAUGUGGAGGCAUCUCCGACUAUUGAGCCAGAGCAUGAUUUUCAAUCGAGAUUUUGAUCGGCCAGCCCACUGUGGUAUUGGAACGUUAUGAAGAUGUUCUUCAUGAUGGCAUUAUUGUAGAUCUCGUACUUCUUUCUGAAACUGGGCCUAAACCCUUGCUUUAGCGUUAAUCUAUUGCUGUAGAUUUUCAGCUUGGGCCAGACUGGUUGGAGUUGGAUGGCGAUCAGUAAGACGAUGAUGACCAUACCUGCAAAACAAGUCUCUAGUCGAGGUUGGUUUCGAUAGAGACCCUUCGAUACUCAAGUUAGACAUUCGUAAAACAGAUGGGGAGGAGCAUACGCGAGAG